GCCGGGCGUGGUGGCGCCCGCCUGUAAUCCCAGCUACUCAGGAGGCUGAGGCAGGAGAAUCGCUUGAGCCUGGGAGGCGGAGGUUGCGGUGAGCUGAGAUAGCGCCACCGCACUCCAGCCUGGGUGAUAGAGCGAGACUCCGUCUCAG
Unclassified non-coding RNA from Macaca fascicularis (crab-eating macaque), 148 nucleotides. It matches the Rfam family "Metazoan signal recognition particle RNA". Rfam says of the family: The signal recognition particle (SRP) is a universally conserved ribonucleoprotein. It is involved in the co-translational targeting of proteins to membranes. The record is from Ensembl. Lineage: Eukaryota; Metazoa; Chordata; Mammalia; Primates; Cercopithecidae.